UUGCUUUGCGGCUGAUCCAAUGCUGCAUUGAAUAUGGGAACUUUGAUUUCGUCUAUUUCAUCUAUGAAGAUGGUGGUGGGAUGCGGGCCGCGAGCCGAGGUC
RNAcentral lists this ribosomal RNA (102 nucleotides) under uncultured eukaryote. RNAcentral describes it as "partial small subunit ribosomal RNA". The record is from RNAcentral.